CCGGGUGGGAGCCUCCCCAAGUGGGUGGUGGGUUGAGGACAGGGUCUGGCCUCCAUCUGUGGGGACCUGGCUUUCCAGCCGUGAGAUCUUUCAGAUUGAUAGCUCAGUCCAUAUGGAAGAAGUACCUUUGGCACCAGGCCAGCCACCUCCAGACCCAGGAUCUCCUGGAAUCCUCUCAAUAUCCUGGCAGGUUGGGGUUUCCACCCCAAUUUGUACUUGGAGAAAAGGAAUUUCAGAAACAUCACCUAAUCACCUUGUCUAAGGCUGAACUCUGCCUGGAAAUACCUUCCUCACUCAAAAUCUUUUAAUGCCUCCAUCAUUCCUUUGUUCAACUGAUUUUCAUCACAUGCUCUUCUGAGUGCUGAGGGCUGGGGCAGUGAAUUAGGCAGACAAGGCCCUGCCUUCAUGGACCUGGUGUUCUAGUCGGUGGGGGGCAGACCAAGCCAGUGGUUCUCAACACAGCUGGAC
This 468-nucleotide long non-coding RNA is filed under the name Rhinopithecus bieti (black snub-nosed monkey). Its description in RNAcentral is "lncRNA (ENSRBIG00000045393.1)". The record is from RNAcentral. Lineage: Eukaryota; Metazoa; Chordata; Mammalia; Primates; Cercopithecidae.